This 72-nucleotide transfer RNA is filed under the name Danionella translucida. It matches the Rfam family "tRNA". From Rfam's summary of the family: Transfer RNA (tRNA) molecules are approximately 80 nucleotides in length. Their secondary structure includes four short double-helical elements and three loops (D, anti-codon, and T loops). RNAcentral also lists the same sequence under 1 other name. The record is from Rfam by way of RNAcentral. Lineage: Eukaryota; Metazoa; Chordata; Actinopteri; Cypriniformes; Danionidae.
GGCUUGUUGGACUAGGGGUAGGAUUCUCGCUUUGAAUGCGAGAGGUCCCAGGUUCAAAUCCUGGAGGAGCCC